GGAUUGCCUUAGUAGCGGCGAGUGAAGCGGCAAAAGCUCAAAUUUGAAAUCUGGCGCCUUCGGUGUCCGAGUUGUAAUUUGAAGAUUGUAACCUUGGGGUUGGCUCUUGUCUAUGUUUCUUGGAACAGGACGUCACAGAGGGUGAGAAUCCCGUGCGAUGAGAUGCCCAAUUCUAUGUAAGGUGCUUUCGAAGAGUCGAGUUGUUUGGGAAUGCAGCUCUAAGUGGGUGGUAAAUUCCAUCUAAAGCUAAAUAUUGGCGAGAGACCGAUAGCGAACAAGUACAGUGAUGGAAAGAUGAAAAGAACUUUGAAAAGAGAGUGAAAAAGUACGUGAAAUUGUUGAAAGGGAAGGGUUUGAGAUCAGACUCGAUAUUUUGUGAGCCUUGCCUUCGUGGCGGGGUGACCCGCAGCUUAUCGGGCCAGCAUCGGUUUGGGCGGUAGGAUAAUGGCGUAGGAAUGUGACUUUACUUCGGUGAAGUGUUAUAGCCUGCGUUGAUGCUGCCUGCCUAGACCGAGGACUGCGAUUUUAUCAAGGAUGCUGGCAUAAUG
RNAcentral lists this ribosomal RNA (548 nucleotides) under Meyerozyma guilliermondii. Its description in RNAcentral is "eukaryotic LSU rRNA". It matches the Rfam family "Eukaryotic large subunit ribosomal RNA", at positions 72 to 636 of the family's 3401-position model. Lineage: Eukaryota; Fungi; Ascomycota; Pichiomycetes; Serinales; Debaryomycetaceae. The record is from RNAcentral.